UACAGGGGGGGCAAGCGUUGUUCGGAAUUACUGGGCGUAAAGGGCUCGUAGGCGGCCAACUAAGUCCGACGUGAAAUCCCCAGGCUUAACCUGGGAACUGCGUCGGAUACUGGAUGGCUUGAAUUCGGGAGAGGGAUGCAGAAUUCCAGGUGUAGCGGUGAAAUGCGUAGAUAUCUGGAGGAAUACCGGUGGCGAAGGCGGCAUCCUGGACCGACAUUGACGCUGAUGAGCGAAAGCU
RNAcentral lists this ribosomal RNA (238 nucleotides) under uncultured bacterium. Its description in RNAcentral is "partial 16S ribosomal RNA". It matches the Rfam family "Bacterial small subunit ribosomal RNA", at positions 524 to 761 of the family's 1533-position model. The record is from RNAcentral.